Molecule: ribosomal RNA, 128 nt
Filed under: Candidatus Anaerobutyricum stercoris
Lineage: Bacteria; Bacillati; Bacillota; Clostridia; Lachnospirales; Lachnospiraceae
Description: partial 23S ribosomal RNA
Rfam family: Bacterial large subunit ribosomal RNA
Source: RNAcentral
CCCUCAAGAUGAGAUCUCCUAGCAGAAAUGUGAGAGACCCCUUAGAGACGAUGAGGUAGAUAGGGCAGGGGUGGAAGUGCAGCGAUGCAUGGAGCUGACUGCUACUAAUCGGUCGAAAGCUUGACCUA